ACAUUUCUUUAGAUAAUCAUUUUACUUGAGGGCAUACAUUUUUUUUCCUCUCUUCAAUCACCCAGCCAUUUAAUUCCAAAGCGCAUGUGUAUUGCUGCAAAAUAUACAUCCCAAAGCGCAUGUGUAUUGCUAUAAAACUACAUAUAUCAUCCCACGUUCGAUAACAUAUGCGUUUAAAUGGUCAACAUGCUUGGUAAUGGUUCUGCCAGCAAGUUAUGCCUUGACAUCUUAAUGCUUGAUAAUAUGAUGCAUACAUGCUGGUCGUGGUGAUCGGUUUCGUUGGCCAUCCAUGCGUUAGCUGGCACUGCCUUCGGCGACACCACCUCUUCCAGCUCCACACAUGAGUGUCUCAUUUGAUCCACGAUGGAAGUCCCAUGAGUCCCAAACUCCCAAUCGACCCGCACUCACCAAGUAGUUUGCACAUGUCCAGUCUCUCUUGCAGAAUUUAACCUUCUUCUCCUGUAACAUGAACAUGACUAUGCUGGAGGUCAACAACAAUGACCAGCAGCGUUCGUGGACCACGAGCUAGGUAAUGACCAUGGACAUGGUGACCCACUGGCCACUGCCCCCACAGUUUCCUGACAGCACACAUGCCUGCAUGUAAUCUAGUGUGAGGGUGCCAAGCAAUGAUUUAAGGCAAGCUAAUAUGUCACCAAAGGACCAAUCAGAAACUAUAACUGUUCAUUGAAGAGCAGCAAGCAUAAUAGUGUUUACAAAGAUAAAUAACAGCAAGAGGAAGCAUGAACUUUGAAUAUGACCUCUUUUACAUUUCCUGCUUACUUAAAAGGUGCAAAUGUAACCCAAUAUGUUUAAUCGGUAACUGAAAGCAGGCAUGAUAGGUUAAUUAUCAACAUUGAUUCAUGCAUAAUAGAACAUAAUUUGAGCAGAUAAAACAUGAUGUCACAUUUUGUAUUGGAAAUAGACUUAAAUCUGUAACUUGUAUCAUUCACCAUCAAAACUAUGGGAAUGGCUCUAUGAAGAAUAUGCUUAAAUACUUAUGAUUGUCUUGGCCAAAAUAAACAAAUUGCAUAGAUACGUACCAAUGAUUUUCACAAUCAGUACCUGGCUAACUGCACUCUAUGCAAUGUGGGAAAUAUGGCAGUGUUGUAUCACACAUGUAGGGAAGUGUGAAGUAAACACAACAUAUGAUUCUGAAUCAAACUUGCAUCUUGUUGUCCGCUCUAAAAACUACCAAAAGCACACCAGAUGAAAUAC
RNAcentral lists this long non-coding RNA (1215 nucleotides) under Hordeum vulgare. RNAcentral describes it as "long non-coding RNA (HVUL_LNC014327)". Lineage: Eukaryota; Viridiplantae; Streptophyta; Magnoliopsida; Poales; Poaceae. The record is from RNAcentral.